GCAUCUAGGGCACACAUCUAACAGUUUGUAUGGAUUCUAGUACUUGCUAAGAAAUUAAUGUAAUUUCUUGAAUUGGAGAUUGAGACUAUCAAUUUGUAUAAAAUGGUAAGAAAAUCUUUAGACUAAAGUCUAUAUCAUUAGGAUUAAAAUAAUUCAUAUACUAAUAGGUUUAUGUUUCUUCUUUUUCAGUUAUGUUCAACACACUAUUGCUCCAUUCGCUGUUGGACAGUGACAGCUUACUAGACC
RNAcentral lists this long non-coding RNA (246 nucleotides) under Elaeis guineensis (African oil palm). RNAcentral's name for it is "long non-coding RNA (EGUI_LNC064522)". Lineage: Eukaryota; Viridiplantae; Streptophyta; Magnoliopsida; Arecales; Arecaceae. The record is from RNAcentral.